Molecule: ribosomal RNA, 544 nt
Filed under: Salmonella enterica
Lineage: Bacteria; Pseudomonadati; Pseudomonadota; Gammaproteobacteria; Enterobacterales; Enterobacteriaceae
Also listed under: 3 other names
Description: partial 23S ribosomal RNA
Rfam family: Bacterial large subunit ribosomal RNA
Source: RNAcentral
AGGGAAACCGAGUCUUAACCGGGCGUUAAGUUGCAGGGUAUAGACCCGAAACCCGGUGAUCUAGCCAUGGGCAGGUUGAAGGUUGGGUAACACUAACUGGAGGACCGAACCGACUAAUGUUGAAAAAUUAGCGGAUGACCUGUGGCUGGGGGUGAAAGGCCAAUCAAACCGGGAGAUAGCUGGUUCUCCCCGAAAGCUAUUUAGGUAGCGCCUCGUGAAUUCAUCUCCGGGGGUAGAGCACUGUUUCGGCUAGGGGGCCAUCCCGGCUUACCAACCCGAUGCAAACUGCGAAUACCGGAGAAUGUUAUCACGGGAGACACACGGCGGGUGCUAACGUCCGUCGUGAAGAGGGAAACAACCCAGACCGCCAGCUAAGGUCCCAAAGUCAUGGUUAAGUGGGAAACGAUGUGGGAAGGCCCAGACAGCCAGGAUGUUGGCUUAGAAGCAGCCAUCAUUUAAAGAAAGCGUAAUAGCUCACUGGUCGAGUCGGCCUGCGCGGAAGAUGUAACGGGGCUAAACCAUGCACCGAAGCUGCGGCAGCGAC